UACCUGGUUGAUCCUGCCAGUAGUCAUAUGCUUGUCUCAAAGAUUAAGCCAUGCAAGUCUAAGUACGAGCUCUCGUA
Non-coding RNA from Ciona savignyi (Pacific transparent sea squirt), 77 nucleotides. Lineage: Eukaryota; Metazoa; Chordata; Ascidiacea; Phlebobranchia; Cionidae. The record is from Rfam.